UACAGAGGUCCCGAGCGUUGUUCGGAUUCACUGGGCGUAAAGGGUGCGUAGGUGGUGAGGUAAGUCGGAUGUGAAAUCUCCGGGCUCAACCCAGAAAUGGCAUUGGAAACUACCUUGCUAGAGGAUUUGAGGGGGGAUUGGAAUACUUGGUGUAGCAGUGAAAUGCGUAGAUAUCAAGUGGAACACCUGAGGCGAAGGCGGGCUACUGGGCCGAUACUGACGCUGAUGCGCGAAAGCCAGGGGAGCGAACGGG
This 253-nucleotide ribosomal RNA is filed under the name uncultured bacterium. RNAcentral's name for it is "partial 16S ribosomal RNA". It matches the Rfam family "Bacterial small subunit ribosomal RNA", at positions 524 to 776 of the family's 1533-position model. The record is from RNAcentral.